This is a long non-coding RNA of Gastrolobium bilobum, 898 nucleotides long. RefSeq lists it as uncharacterized. The record is from RefSeq and is a predicted model, not a curated record. The transcript has 3 exons. NCBI's taxonomy places the organism in Eukaryota, Viridiplantae, Streptophyta, Magnoliopsida, Fabales, Fabaceae.
AACUCCAUCUUUGGGGACAAAAAUAUUCACUUUAAAUCAAUUGGCUGAAAACUAAUCUCUUCCCUUAUCCACUUCAAGCAUGGAAGAAAAACUUAGCUGAGCAUCAUUCCUCUAGCGCACAAAAAGAACAACAGAACCGAUCGUGCACAUUGGGUCUAGGCCAGAAAACGCAGCCACUCGCUUUCUUCCACCAAGACCGUGAAUCUCUCAAGAGAGAAAUUUCCAUCUAAGCUUCCAUGGGUACUCCUUUCACCCUUCGGCCGAGUAACCACCAGCAAGGAGGUGAGAUGCUCAUCAUUUUUGGUUCCUUUCCUACUCCACCAGUUCUGACUAAGUCCCUCCUUAUGUGCACAUGAUGUGGCUCGUUGGAUGCUGUCUCCCACUGCAUGCAGAGUGUGUCCGAAACUCAGCCUCAUUCCUCUGCCCUCCUUGUGCACGGUCUCACCAAUUCAAGGAGCUGUGGUUCUGAAUUUUUUGAAGAGUAGAUAAACUCCCUUACAUGUGGCUGAAUUCGCGAGCUUGGGAUAGGAAAGGGUGAGAACCUUAGCACCUACCUUGGGGAUUAUCUUCUUGGCUGAUUGGUGAACCGUGGAGUGCAUACAAGGAAGUAACCUAACCUAAACCAAGACUUCUCACCCUUCUCUGUUUCGGAUUUGUGUGCAGCCUAGGAGAAUGAGGACGAAAGAGCAUAUGAAGACAUGGUUAUUUUGGAUAUUAGCUGUUAAUUGCUGAUGUUUGGAUUUUUGCUGUUGCUGUUUAUUUGAUGGAUGACUGUAUUAUUUUGGGAAGUUUGGAUUACUGUUGGAACUAUGAUUUAGCUACAGUUUUAAGACUGUUAUGAUCAGUUAUUACCUUGGAAAACAAAAAAUUCUGAAAACGUUUUGCGAAAAAAAAAAUU